Molecule: ribosomal RNA, 492 nt
Filed under: uncultured bacterium
Lineage: Bacteria
Description: partial 16S ribosomal RNA
Rfam family: Bacterial small subunit ribosomal RNA
Source: RNAcentral
AGUGAACGCUGGCGGUAGGCCUAACACAUGCAAGUCGAACGGCAGCACAGUAAGAGCUUGCUCUUACGGGUGGCGAGUGGCGGACGGGUGAGGAAUACAUCGGAAUCUACUUUUUCGUGGGGGAUAACGUAGGGAAACUUACGCUAAUACCGCAUACGACCUACGGGUGAAAGCAGGGGAUCUUCGGACCUUGCGCGAUUGAAUGAGCCGAUGUCGGAUUAGCUAGUUGGCGGGGUAAGGGCCCACCAAGGCGACGAUCCGUAGCUGGUCUGAGAGGAUGAUCAGCCACACUGGAACUGAGACACGGUCCAGACUCCUACGGGAGGCAGCAGUGGGGAAUAUUGGACAAUGGGCGCAAGCCUGAUCCAGCCAUACCGCGUGGGUGAAGAAGGCCUUCGAGUUGUAAAGCCCUUUUGUUGGGAAAGAAAAGCAGCAGGUUAAUACCCCGCUGUUCCGACGGUACCCAAAGAAUAAGCACCGGCUAACUUCGUG